Molecule: ribosomal RNA, 450 nt
Filed under: uncultured bacterium
Lineage: Bacteria
Description: partial 16S ribosomal RNA
Rfam family: Bacterial small subunit ribosomal RNA
Source: RNAcentral
GUGGGGAAUUUUGGACAAUGGGCGCAAGCCUGAUCCAGCAAUGCCGCGUGCAGGAAGAAGGCCUUCGGGUUGUAAACUGCUUUUGUACGGAACGAAACGGUCCUGGUUUAUACCCGGGGCUAAUGACGGUACCGUAAGAAUAAGCACCGGCUAACUACGUGCCAGCAGCCGCGGUAAUACGUAGGGUGCAAGCGUUAAUCGGAAUUACUGGGCGUAAAGCGUGCGCAGGCGGUGCUGUAAGACAGGCGUGAAAUCCCCGGGCUUAACCUUGGAAUUGCGCUUGUGACUGCAGUGCUGGAGUGCGGCAGAGGGGGAUGGCAUUCCGCGUGUAGCAGUGAAAUGCGUAGAUAUGCGGAGGAACACCGAUGGCGAAGGCAAUCCCCUGGGCCUGCACUGACGCUCAUGCACGAAAGCGUGGGGAGCAAACAGGAUUAGAUACCCGGGUAGUCC